GAGUUUGAUCAUGGCUCAGGACGAACGCUGGCGGCGUGCUUAACACAUGCAAGUCGAACGAGAAUCUACUGAAAGAGUUUUCGGACAAUGGAAGUAGAGGAAAGUGGCGGACGGGUGAGUAACGCGUGAGGAACCUGCCGUUGAAGAGGGGGACAACAGUUGGAAACGACUGCUAAUACCGCAUGAUGCAUAAGGGUCGCAUGAUUCUUAUGCCAAAGAUUUAUCGCUUCAAGAUGGCCUCGCGUCUGAUUAGCUAGUUGGCGGGGUAAGGCCCACCAAGGCGACGAUCAGUAGCCGGACUGAGGUAGG
Molecule: ribosomal RNA, 309 nt
Filed under: uncultured microorganism
Description: bacterial SSU rRNA
Rfam family: Bacterial small subunit ribosomal RNA
Source: RNAcentral